RNAcentral lists this ribosomal RNA (310 nucleotides) under uncultured Ulvibacter sp. RNAcentral's name for it is "bacterial SSU rRNA". It matches the Rfam family "Bacterial small subunit ribosomal RNA", at positions 28 to 334 of the family's 1533-position model. The record is from RNAcentral. Lineage: Bacteria; Pseudomonadati; Bacteroidota; Flavobacteriia; Flavobacteriales; Flavobacteriaceae.
GAUGAACGCUAGCGGCAGGCCUAACACAUGCAAGUCGAGGGGUAACAGAGAGUGCUUGCACUCUGCUGACGACCGGCGCACGGGUGAGUAACGCGUAUACAAUCUACCUUGUACUAGGGGAUAGCCUUUAGAAAUGAAGAUUAAUACCCUAUAGUAUGUAUUUGUGGCAUCACAUUAUACAUUAAAGGUUACGGUAUAAGAUGAGUAUGCGUCCUAUUAGUUAGUUGGUAAGGUAACGGCUUACCAAGACUACGAUAGGUAGGGGCCCCGAGAGGGGGACCCCCCACACUGGUACUGAGACACGGACCAG